Molecule: long non-coding RNA, 380 nt
Organism: Pistacia vera
Lineage: Eukaryota; Viridiplantae; Streptophyta; Magnoliopsida; Sapindales; Anacardiaceae
Exons: 3
Source: RefSeq, a predicted model, not a curated record
CGUAGCUCCGCUCCGACUCUCCCUCUCCUUCUCUCUCUUUGAACCGCACACUCUACUCGACCUCCGCUCCCUCGCCGUAUAAAGCCGCCUUUCGUCCGUCGGCUGGUCGGAAGCGGUUGUGCGGCUUCCCGAUCGGGUUCUUUAUCCUCUCAGAUCGCUUCCGGCUGCUCGAUCCGUCGAUUUUAGGAGCUAAUUGGGUAUUUGAAGAAGACUUGUAAUGGCUGGAGAAAAGAACAUUGAGAAAGAUCAGCCAUUGGCAACAGAAUUGAAGUCAGAUCCCAUCAGUAAAUCAGCUGAGCGUGAUGUGGUAUGUCACAAAUUAUGUUUUAUUCAUCACAAUGGUCAGAGAACAUAAAUUUACUUAUUUAAAUUUAUAGGGA